CAAAUUUUAAAAAAAAGAAAAAUGAAAAUAGUUUAUUUCAUUGCAAAAGAAAUUAAAACCAAAAUGUUUACUAGCAUUAUUGAACAGAAC
Molecule: non-coding RNA, 90 nt
Organism: Pseudonaja textilis
Lineage: Eukaryota; Metazoa; Chordata; Lepidosauria; Squamata; Elapidae
Source: RefSeq, a predicted model, not a curated record